Molecule: ribosomal RNA, 188 nt
Filed under: uncultured eukaryote
Lineage: Eukaryota
Description: partial 18S ribosomal RNA
Rfam family: Eukaryotic small subunit ribosomal RNA
Source: RNAcentral
CCGCACGCGCGCUACACUGAUGCCUUCAGCGAGUCUCGACCUGGCCGAGAGGGCCGGGGAACCUUUUGAACUUGCCUCCGGAUGGGGAUAGAUUAUUGCAACUAUUAAUCUUCAACGAGGAAUUCCUAGUAAGCGCAUGUCAUCCACGUGCGUUGAUUACCUCCCUGCCCUUUGUACACACCGCCCGU